Molecule: long non-coding RNA, 5817 nt
Filed under: Musa acuminata (dwarf banana)
Lineage: Eukaryota; Viridiplantae; Streptophyta; Magnoliopsida; Zingiberales; Musaceae
Description: long non-coding RNA (MACU_LNC002614)
Source: RNAcentral
GGGAUUGCCUAAUUCUUGAGGCGUCCUUGCGACAUAUGCGUCCGCAAAGGUUCAGCCUAGUUGCAACCUCGUAUAGGUCUCGAAGGACCUGUAAAAUAGAAAGUUGAUUAGGUUGAAAACGAGCGACAGACAAGUCUCGACGUCUCGCAAAGAGGGAAGCUUUACAAGCAAUUCAGCAAGCACCUUGUGUGCAUAGGAGAAAAGAGAGAAAGGAGGAAAACAAGAGCUUUAGAAGGUAGAACGAACAGUUGCAAGUCCACAAACAACUGCUCACCGGGUGCCGGGCGUGAAGGCAAGUUCCCGUCAAGUCAACGUGUGAACUUGUGAAGAUUUUUUAACGCCCGAUAAUAUACCGAAGCCCCAUCCAGCCCUGUGCCACCCGGGGGGGUUCCAGGGUGCUGAGAUGGUUGACAUUUCGUGCGCUGCAGUAGGCUACAGAAAACAGCCCGUGGCACGCGAAAACAGAGCCAUUUUGAGGCUUUUUGGCCUGGCACGGUGAGCGAUCGCACUGUGCGCUGCAACCUAUUCGAACAUGUAUUUUUACAAGAAAAAACACAUAAAACCAAGGUAAAAGAGGCUGUCAUGUCUCUGUUCAAGCAUGCAAAAGCGAUGAACGAUUCGUUGAACGAAAUUGUUGCGAGUGCGCGACGACCGUUCGUGACAUUCUCCCCCAUUUAAACUGUUGACGCCCUCGUUGACGCUUGUUGGUAGUUGUUGAUAGUUGCUUCUUCAUGUCGUAGGGCAUCUUCGGGCUCCCAACUGGCUUCAGUUUGGGGAAGCUUUCGCUACUUCACCAAGUACUCGGUCUGCUCAGCUCCAUUGGGUAACUUUAUCUUGCGAUCCGCUAGAAUGGUUUCAACUCGCUUCUCGUAGGAGGCUCUGGUGGGGGCGUAGCCGAGUUAGAACACUUUGGGAAGCAUCUUGCAGAUCUGAGUAGUAGGCUUUCAAGUUGUUGGCGUGAAAAACAUUAUGAAUUUUGAGCCACGCCGACAGCUGCAACCUGUAGGAGGCGUUGCCCACCCUACUAAUAAUUGGGAAGGGUCCUUCAUACUUGCGCACCAAUCCUUUGUGUACUUUGUUCUUAAAGAAUUGGAGUGAUGUUGGUUGGAACUUCACCAACACCAAAUCGCCGACUUUGAACUCUUGUGGUCGCCUUCCCAUGUCGGCCCACUUCUUCAUCUUUUUUACCGCCUUCUCCAAGUAAGCCCGCGCAAUAUCUGUUUUUCGAUGCCAUUCUUUUGCAAAGUGAUAUGCUGACGGACUAUUCCCAGUGUAUCCGAUAGCCAAGGUGUGAGGAGUCGAUGGUUGUUGUCUUGUAAUAAUCUCGAAGGGGCUCUUGUUUGACGUAGAGCUCCGCUGCAAGUUGUAGGAGAAUUGGGCUAUGUCCAACAGCUUCACCCAAUCUUGUUGGUUGGCACUUACGUAGUGCCGAAGAUAUUGCUCCAGUAGAGAAUUUAUCCUUUCGAUUUGGCAUUCUCUCUGGGGGUGGAGGCUUGUGGAGAAGUAUAACUUAGACCCUAACAAUUUGAAUAGCUCGGUCCAGAAUCGUCCCAGGAACCGAGCGUCUCGAUCAUUGAUAAUAUUGUGCGGGACUCCCCAAUACUUCACCACAUUAUUUAUCAUCAGCUUGGCCGCCUCCUCUGCUGAACAGUGUAAGGGUGCAGCAAUAAAAGUUGUAUACUUUGAAAAUUGAUCGACCACCACGAGUAUCGAUCCGAGUCCCUCUACUACCGGCAAGCUUGAUAUAAAGUCCAAAGAAAUGCUCUCCCACGACCUUUCUGGUACUGGCAAUGGCUCCAAAAGGCCCACCGGCUUCCGUUGCUCCACUUUGUCUUGUUGGCAAGUGAGGCACGUUCGAACAUAUUCCUCCACAUCAGUCCCCAUCUUCGGCUAGUAGAAGGCCCUCUCCACGAGAGCCAUGGUUCUGUGAAUGCCCGGAUGUCCAGCCCAUAGGGAAUCAUGACACUAUCUUAAGAGCUCACGCCUCAAAUUGUCCACUCGAGGGACAUAAACCCUAUUCCCUUUUGUAUAAACGAGUCCCUCCUGGAUCCAAAAUCGUCGUGCCUUGCCUUCGUUAAUGAGCUGCAUCAAGGUUACUGCCUGGGGAUCACUGUACAGUCUAUCCCUGAUCCUGGAAAGGAAGUUGGAGUGCAGCUGACUUGUUUGGCCUCUGCCCUCCAAUUGUACAGCAUUCACACGCUCCACUUUCCGACUCAAUGCAUCGGCCACGACAUUUGCCUUUCCGGGCUUGUACUCCAUUGUCAUAUCAAACUCAGCCAGGAAGUCCUGCCAUCGUGCUUGCUUUGCGGAGAGUUUCUUCUGAGUUUGGAAGUAGCUCAAAGCGAUGUUGUCUGUCCUCAGCACAAAUCGCGAUCCAAGAAAGCAGUGUCGCCAAACUCGUAAACAGUGGACCACCGUUGUCAUCUCCUUCUCGUGUAUCGGAUACCGCUGCUCAGUCUCGUUGAGCUUGCGACUCUCGUAGGCCACCAGAUGACCCUCCUGCAUGAGUACUCCCCCAAUAGCGUAGUCUGAAACAUCUGUAUGGACUUCGAAGGGCUCCCCAUAGUCCGACAAUUUGAGCACCGAUUCUUCCAACACAGCAACCUUCAGAUCUUGGAACGCAUCUUCACAUUAAUCAGACCACCUCCAAGGCUGCUUCUUCUUCAGCAACUCCGUCAGUGGAGUUACACGCUUCGAAUACCCCGCUAUGAAGCAUCGAUAGUAGUUGACGAAACCAAGGAAGGAUCUCAACUCUGGCACCUUCUUUGGAGUUCGUCAUUCCGCAACAGCUUGCACCUUCGAUUUGUCCAUCCGAAUGGCGCCAUCACCGAUUCGAUGCCCCAAGAAUAAGAUCUCUGUUUGAGAAAUGUAGUACUUCUCCCUUUUCACGAACAAAGUGUCCUCCUUGAGAACCUUAAAUUGUUCGAAGGUGCUCGACAUGCUCCUCGAGCGUUUGGCUGUAGACGACGAUAUCGUCCAAGUAGAUGACCACGAACUUAUCCAAAUACUCUUUGAAUAGUUAGUUCAUAAGAAUGCAGAACGUGGCUGGAGUGUUGGUUAAGCCGAAAGGCAUCACCAAGAACUCAAACGCUCCAUACCUGGUCACGCAGGUAGUCUUUACUUCGUUGCCUUCAGCAAUGCGCAACUGCCAGUACCCCGACCGGAGGUUAAGUUUAGAGAAAUACUUGGCUUUGCCCAAUUAGUCGAACAAGUCUGCGAUGAGCAGGAUGGGAUACUUAUUCUUCACCGUCACUUUGUUGAGGGCUCAAUAAUCGACGUAUAGUCAGAGGCUCCCAUCUUGUUUCUUUUGGAAGAGAACUGGAGCUCCGAAUGGUGCUUUAGAACUGCGGAUGAGACCACCGCUUAGCAAUUCACCUAACUGCUUUCUGAGCUCUGCCAACUAUGGAGGGGGCAUGCGGUAGGGUGGUCUCGCUGGAGGCUUCACUCCUGGCUCCAGUUCGAUAUAAUGAUCCACGCCUCUGCGUGGCGAUAGAGUCUUCGACAACUCAGGUGGCAUAACGUCUGUGAACUCCUUCAAGACGUUCGUCACCAUAGCAGGUUCAUGAAUGGCCUUCUCGUCGAGUGGCUUUAGCUUCAUAGCAGCCACAAAUGUUAAUUCACCUUUUCAUACCCCUUUCUUCAAUUGUAAUACUGAUAUCUGUUGGGGUUCCCUGGUUCAUCUCUGAGAGACGAGAACCACACAAGGGUCGUCACCUCCCAUCAUACAUAGGGAGUUUAGGAACGACAUUGGCACCAACUUCGCCACGUACAUGAAUUUCAUUCCAAGAAUCACUUGGAAGUCGUCCAGUGGCACCGCCAUCAUGUUUGUACUCCCGCUCCAUGUUCCGAUCUUGAUGGGAAAUCCCUUUGCCAACCCGGAGAUUCGCUUGGCCUCCGAGUUCACCGCCUUUAUUCGACUUGGGUUCUCCAAGAUCAGCCCAAGUCGCUUUGCUUCUUGAUCGGCAAUAAAGUUGUGGGUAGCUCCCGUAUCCACUAUUGCACGGGUUAUUUGGCCAUUGAGCUUACUGUCCACGUACAUCAGCUCGCUACUACCUGCUUUCAAUGACUUUGCCUUCAUGUUCUCCCCCACUUGACCUCGCAAUGCAUUUAACAAACGCAUUGCUCCCAUUCGGGGACCCUGUGACUCCUCAUCGUUGUUGCUAGAUUCUGAACUGCUUGAACUAAAGGCGACGACUUUGCCCUAGUCCGAUUUUGGGGGAUGGAUGAAAGCUGUUAAAGCAUUGAGUGCUUGUUUCUAUGGGCAAUCCCUCACCAUAUGCGACCCUCUGCACAAGAAGCAUCCGCCAAUCUUCGAGGCCUUGCCUUUUGAGCUUGGCCAUUUAUGGAAACUCUUCUUUCUUUGUUUGUCCCAGGGCUCCUUCCAUCGAGAAUAUUUUGGAGGGCGAUUUCCUGAAGAUUGUUUCCUUUUUCCUGGGUCCUCAGAGGUAACAAAGUCGGUGAGCCUUUCUACAGCAACAAUUGCCCCGAUCCGGUGACAUUCCUUCGAUACAAUUCUUGUUGAGCCCAAGGCUUCAAACCAUCAAGGAAGCUGAACAGCUUAUCCUUUUCGGACAUGUCCUGUAUGUCUAGCAUUAGUGCAGAAAAUUACUUCACGUAGUCUCGAAUGGAAGUACUUUGGCGGAGUUAUUUUAGUUUCCUCAUUGUGACGAACUUUGUAUUCUCAAGUAGAAACUGAGUUCUCAACUCCCGCUUUAAGUCCUCCCAUGUGUCCACAUAACACUGACCUUGUUGGAUCUCCUCCUAAUGGGUCCGCCACCAAAGUUUUGCAUCCUUGUCCAAAUACAUGGUUGCUAUUCAGGCUUUGUAGCUCGAAAGUACUGUUCCAUGUCAAACAAGAAAUUCUCGAGCUCUUUUGCAUCCCUAGCACCUCCAUAGCAAUGAGGCUCAGGUGCCCUCAGGUUUUGUGGCGGUGCAACGUGGGUAUUGCUCCCUCCCGCAUUUAGUGCCCUUGUGAGUACUGUCACUUUAGAAGUGAGUUCCACCACGACUUCAUGCAAAUGUUGCACGAAGUCUUUAGUCAUCCGUCAGUCGAUCGACUAGGGCCUCAACCUUAUCGAUUCAGGAUUUAGCUUCUUCUUGCGAGCUCUCUACCCCAAGAAACCUUUGCUGGCCUUGUUAGAGUUCCUCCAAGCUCGCUUCAAGAACAUUCAAGCGGGUUUCCGCCGCUAUGAGUCUCUCCUUAUGGCUCUUCUUCUCGAUUGACGCUCCAGAUUGCGCCUCCUUCGCUCGCGGAGAGUAGCCAUUUUCUCGCUCAUUAUGUUCGCUGCCACGAUCCUCCAAAGCCGCUCCAACGACAUGAGAGCAAGUUUGCACUUGCAGCCCACCUGCGACUGCUUGGGGAAAAGGUCCGGCUUGCCCCGCCUUGCUUGAUUCGCCACGAUGCUUUGCCAUGGUGAAACUGUGAAGUUCCUUCGUUGCUUGCUCGAAUUGCUUGUUAGCUCUGAUACCACAAGGUCACAGACUUAGCUGGAAUUGCCUAAGUCGUGAGGCACCCUUGUUGCCAAUACGCGAACUUAGCAUGAGUUGCCUAAGUCGCAACGUACCCUUGCACCAACUUCUCGGACUUAGCUGGGAUUGUCUAAGUCUUGAAGCAUCCUUGCGACAUAUGCGUCCGCAAAGGUCCAGCCUAGUUGCAACCUCGUACAAGUCCCGAAGGACCUGUAAAACAGAAAGUUAAUUAGAUUGAAAACGAGCGACGGACAAGUCCCGACGUCUCGCAAAGAGGGAAGCUUUACAAGCAAUUCAGCAAGCACCUUGUGUGCACAAGAGAAAAGAGAGAAAGGAGGAAAACAAGGA